CACGUAGGGGGCAAGCGUUGUCCGGAUUUAUUGGGCGUAAAGAGCUCGUAGGCGGCUCAGUAAGUCGGGUGUGAAACCUCCAGGCUCAACCUCCGGCCUGCAGUGGGUACGGGCAAACUAGAGUGCGGUAGGGGAGAUUGGAAUUCCUGGUGUAGCGGUGGAAUGCGCAGAUAUCAGGAGGAACACCGAUGGCGAAGGCAGAUCUCUGGGCCGUAACUGACGCUGAGGAGCGAAAGCGUGGGGAGCGAACAGG
RNAcentral lists this ribosomal RNA (253 nucleotides) under uncultured bacterium. Its description in RNAcentral is "partial 16S ribosomal RNA". It matches the Rfam family "Bacterial small subunit ribosomal RNA", at positions 524 to 776 of the family's 1533-position model. The record is from RNAcentral.